This 253-nucleotide ribosomal RNA is filed under the name uncultured bacterium. RNAcentral's name for it is "partial 16S ribosomal RNA". It matches the Rfam family "Bacterial small subunit ribosomal RNA", at positions 524 to 776 of the family's 1533-position model. The record is from RNAcentral.
UACGUAGGGGGCUAGCGUUGUCCGGAUUUAUUGGGCGUAAAGAGCGUGUAGGCGGCCAGGUAGGUCUGCUGUGAAAACUCGAGGCUCAACCUCGAGCCUGCAUUCGAUACUGGGCGGCUAGAGUCUGGUAGGGGGAUCUGGAAUUCCUGGUGUAGCGGUGGAAUGCGCAGAUAUCAGGAGGAACACCGGCGGCGAAGGCGGCACUCUGGGCCGGUACUGACGCUGAGGAGCGAAAGCGUGGGUAGCAAACAGG